This 2719-nucleotide long non-coding RNA is filed under the name Salmo salar (Atlantic salmon). Its description in RNAcentral is "lncRNA (ENSSSAG00000087368.1)". The record is from RNAcentral. Lineage: Eukaryota; Metazoa; Chordata; Actinopteri; Salmoniformes; Salmonidae.
GGGGGGGUUAGUGACCUUAAACAGUGGUUCUCAACUGGUUUUGUCCCGGGACCCAAAUUGAAUCCGGUAGUCUCACUUGCGACCCAAUAUUUGCAUCGCGAAAAAUAAUUGCCAACAUACAAUCUGGAAAACAAUUAUAUGACGAGAACAACAUCCCCCACCUCUUUCAUUGUCAAUAAUACAAUUUUGCUCAUAUUCUUGAUGAAGAAUGUUAAUUAACUCACUGUCUUGAGACCACAAAAUCAACCAAAAUAGUGCUGCUAAUAGCUCUAUAUUGAAAAUACUGUGAUUGAAGAAAACAUUUUCAGAGAUUAAAUUAUUUACGCAUUUAAAUGCAUUAUCACAUUUUCUACCUGGUUUAAGUCGUUUAAGUUCAGACUGGAGUACUUAUUUCUUUUUAUAAAAACCAUUUGAGAAUCGCUGAUCUAAAGUCCUUAAAUAACAACGGGUAGGGGAAUGUCAAGACUUCACUAAUAUUCCCAAUAUAUCAGCUUGCCUGGCUACUGCCCGCUACAUUCAUUUAGGAAAGCCCAUGCAGCCUCAGACGUGGCCAUGAAUUGUCUUUGUAUUUUUCUUUUAGAAAUUAGAGUGAAAAAACGAAUCACUUGCAUAGUUGAGCUUUAAAAUAUUGAAUCUACCCAGUAAGCAAAAUUACGUUGAAGAGAUGUCGAGAUUACGUAUUUUCCAGACGUUGAAGUAAGGUUCAUUUUCCAUUCUGAAUGAAAGUUGAAAAUAUGUAACAUUAUAUAAAUUAUAUAACAAUAAAUCAAAUGAAUAUAGGGAAGAGGAGCCAUCUGAAGAUUGCAGCAUAGAUUAUUUAAUAUUUCUUCCACCGGUCACAUGCGUUUAUGUUAGCUUGAUGUUCCAAGCAUUCCAACCUACAGAAUAAAGCAGCAGACCACGGUUACAGAAAUAUUAUUUUCUUGCUAUGACUGUGAUAUGUUGUUGUUUAUCUACCUUAGUUGAAUGCACUGACUGUAAGUCUGCGGAAUGACCAAAAUGUAAAUGUUAAAUGUAAAAACAGACACUUGCAAAGCAUGCUGUGUGUUAUUAGUAAAUUUAGAACUGAACCUUUAUUUAACUAGGCAAGUAAGUUAAGAACAAAUUUUUAUUUACAAUGACGGCCUACCCUGGCCAAACCCAGACGACGCUGGGCCAAUUGUGCACCUCACUAUGGGAUUCCCAAUCACAGCCGGAUGUGAUACAGCCUGGAUUCGAACCAGGGACUGCAGUGACGCCACUUGCACUGAGAUGUAGUGCCUUAGACCGCUGCACCACUCUGGAGCCCUAAUGACCUCCUCCCCCCCAAACAAGUACAAAUUUGGCUGGUCCGGACCACACCUAAUCUGAACAAAUCAUAGAUGUCUAGGCUAUGUUUCACAAGUUUGAACAUAACAGUACGGUACAGCACAGUUCAGUACAGUAGCUACAGUACAGUUUAAUUCAGUACAGUAGAGUACAGUUUAGUUCAGUAGAGUACAUUAGAGUAAUGUAGGGUAAAAUACAGUAUAUUAUACUGUACUAUACUCUACUGUGCUGUACUCUACUGUACUAAACUAUACUUUACCCUUUACUUUAAUGUACUCUACUGUGCUCUACUGUAUUUUACUGUACUGUACUUUUCUGUACUGUGCUCUGCUGUACUGUGCUCUCAACUUGUGAAUUAUAGAUGUCUUUGAUUGGUUCAGAUUUGGUCCGGAUCGGACAAAAUCUGACGUAUGGUGCUCAGUGGGAGGUGAGUGACGUACGUUGGUGAGAUGCGAGUAACGUGCGAUUGGCAGGAUGGUCCAGACACCUGCAACUCGCGAGACACAAGCGAGUGCCCUGAUGAACAAGCCAAGUCACCACAUAAACAAGACCGCUUUAACUGGCUGUGCACUGACAUAGCAGCAUGUAUGUAGUUGAGAUGCACUCUCAGCAGCCUAGAUUCUAAAGGCUGUCUGGAGAAUAUUAUAGAAAAGUAGUCGUUGAUUGUGUCAGCAUGAAGACUUUAAAUACACUGAUUGCACCCGAUAAUGGCCAAAUAGCGCUUACAUUUGAAUUGUUACUUUGAACUAGUUGAACCGUUAUAUAAGUGUUGCUGUAGCCUCGAAGCCACAGCUGGUGACAAAAAAAAAGUUUAACCAAUGUUUCUGGGUAAGCUUUUAAUGAAGUGAAAUAUCUGAGUGAGUGGUGCUGGUCUUGUCAGACCCUAUUAGGUUGUUUACCGUGAGACAAUAUGAAUUUGCAUGGUUAGUUUUAACAUGCACCCACCCAUGAGAGUGUUGGCUAGAACACAGUGACCCAUUCUACACACACACACACACACACACACGAUCGCAGACACACACUUGUUUCCCGGACUGGAUAAGAAAGCUAUUGAAGGAUUCUCUCAGGAAAAAAUAAAAUGUUCUAAAUAAAUGAUGAUAAACAUUAGAUGAACCACCAUUGUUUGGCGAAUCUGUUUUGCUCUCUGGAUGGAGAAUGUCAUGGUAUGUACUGUUUGCGUCCUGUUCUCCUGCUCUUUGGUUUUGGCUCGUUCCACGCAAUCCCUUUGAUAUUUUAAGUAUAAAUUGUGCUCCAAUAUUGCAUUUUUAAAAGCCUGUUAUAUUGAAUUAAGUGCCCUUUAAUAUAGAUCACAUGGAGAAUUAAAUAAAUCAGAUUUUCCAUAUUAAAGUCUUGCUUGAGUGCCAAAAUUCUGCAAGAUGUGAGCUGAACUCUCAUUUUAAUAAUUAUUCCU